RNAcentral lists this ribosomal RNA (367 nucleotides) under Pallasiola absinthii. RNAcentral describes it as "partial 16S ribosomal RNA". Lineage: Eukaryota; Metazoa; Arthropoda; Insecta; Coleoptera; Chrysomelidae. The record is from RNAcentral.
UUGAAUGGCCGCGGUAUUUUGACCGUGCUAAGGUAGCAUAAUCAUUAGUUUUUUAAUUGAAAGCUGGAAUGAAGGAUUGAAUGAAAAAAUAGCUGUCUCUGUUUAAUUAUUAUAGAAAUUUAUUUUUAAGUUCAAAAGCUUAAAUUUUAUUAAAAGACGAGAAGACCCUAUAGAGUUUUAUAAUUUUUAGUAUAGAAGAUUUAGAAUUAAUUUUUUUUAUAUUUAAGAAUUAUUUGAUUGGGGUGAUUAAAAAAUUUAUUUAACUUUUUUUAUAAAAUUUAUAUUAAUAAAUAAAUAUUUGAUCCAAAAUUUUUGAUUAAAAGAUUAAAUUACCUUAGGGAUAACAGCGUAAUUUUAUUGGAGAGUU